CCUGUAAGCGGGGAAUAACCCGUUGAAAGACGGACUAAUACCGCAUAAUACUAAAUUACUGCAUGGUAAUUUAUUUAAACAUUUAUGGCUUACAGAUGGGCAUGCGCAUGAUUAGCUAGUUGGAGAGGUAACGGCUCCCCAAGGCAACGAUCAUUAGGGGUUCUGAGAGGAAGGUCCCCCACACUGGUACUGAGACACGGACCAGACUCCUACGGGAGGCAGCAGUGAGGAAUAUUGGUCAAUGGACGAGAGUCUGAACCAGCCAAGUCGCGUGCAGGAAGAAUGUCCCUAUGGAUUGUAAACUGCUUUUGCAGGGGAAUAAAGUGCAUCACGUGUGAUGUUUUGUAUGUACUCUGCGAAUAAGGAUCGGCUAACUCCGUGCCAGCCGCCGC
This 392-nucleotide ribosomal RNA is filed under the name uncultured bacterium. RNAcentral's name for it is "bacterial SSU rRNA". It matches the Rfam family "Bacterial small subunit ribosomal RNA", at positions 129 to 518 of the family's 1533-position model. The record is from RNAcentral.